AGUGAACGCUGGCGGUAGGCCUAACACAUGCAAGUCGAACGGCAGCACAGUAAGAGCUUGCUCUUACGGGUGGCGAGUGGCGGACGGGUGAGGAAUACAUCGGAAUCUACUUUUUCGUGGGGGAUAACGUAGGGAAACUUACGCUAAUACCGCAUACGACCUACGGGUGAAAGCAGGGGAUCUUCGGACCUUGCGCGAUUGAAUGAGCCGAUGUCGGAUUAGCUAGUUGGCGGGGUAAAGGCCCACAAAGGCGACGAUCCGUAGCUGGUCUGAGAGGAUGAUCAGCCACACUGGAACUGAGACACGGUCCCGACUCCUACGGGAGGCAGCAGCGGGGAAUAUUGGACAAUGGGGGCAAGCCUGAUCCAGCCAUACCGCGUGGGUGAAGAAGGCCUUCGGGUUGUAAAGCCCUUUUGUUGGGAAAGAAAAGCAGCAGGUUAAUACCCCGCUGUUCUGACGGUACCCAAAGAAUAAGCACCGGCUAACUUCGUG
This 492-nucleotide ribosomal RNA is filed under the name uncultured bacterium. RNAcentral's name for it is "partial 16S ribosomal RNA". It matches the Rfam family "Bacterial small subunit ribosomal RNA", at positions 29 to 507 of the family's 1533-position model. The record is from RNAcentral.